This 468-nucleotide ribosomal RNA is filed under the name uncultured bacterium. RNAcentral describes it as "partial 16S ribosomal RNA". It matches the Rfam family "Bacterial small subunit ribosomal RNA", at positions 28 to 507 of the family's 1533-position model. The record is from RNAcentral.
GACGAACGCUGGCGGCGUGCUUAACACAUGCAAGUCGAACGGAAAGGCCCUGCUUUUGUGGUGUGCUCGAGUGGCGAACGGGUGAGUAACACGUGAGUAACCUGCCCUUGACUUUGGGAUAACUUCAGGAAACUGGGGCUAAUACCGGAUAGUAGCUCCUGCUGCAUGGUGGGGGUUGGAAAGUUUCGGCGGGUGGGGAUGGACUCGCGGCUUAUCAGCUUGUUGGUGGGGUAGUGGCUUACCAAGGCUUUGACGGGUAGCCGGCAUGAGAGGGUGACCGGCCACAUUGGGACUGAGAUACGGACCAGACUCCUACGGGAGGCAGCAGUGGGGAAUAUUGCACAAUGGGCGGAAGCCUGAUGCAGAAACGCCGCGUGCGGGAUGACGGCCUUCGGGUUGUAAACCGCUUUCGCCUGUGACGAAGCGUGAGUGACGGUAAUGGGUAAAGAAGCACCGGCUAACUACGUG